This is a long non-coding RNA of Adelges cooleyi (spruce gall adelgid), 469 nucleotides long. RefSeq lists it as uncharacterized. The transcript has 4 exons. Lineage: Eukaryota; Metazoa; Arthropoda; Insecta; Hemiptera; Adelgidae. The record is from RefSeq and is a predicted model, not a curated record.
UCUACGUUCUUGGUGUUAAUAAUAAUAACUACUUGAAUAAAAUGAAUUUGAAAAGCUUAAUUUAUAUGUUAACCACCAUAUUUUGCCUAAUGGUGUCCGUGUAUGCGGUUAAAAAUCCUCCAGAUGAAGCUAAUCCUACUCGUAACCCACCACCUGGUUAUCCACAAAUACCACCACUACCAACUGCACCAAUAAAUAUACCACAACCACGACCACCACAAGGAGAAUCAGCCACUAACGACAAAUAAAUUUACGAACAAAGCUGCAGUAUCCAAGAGCUUGGUCACAUUUUGAAAAUACAUAAUAUUAUUACUAAUACGUGUAUAUUGUAAAAUGUUCAUCUUUUUUUAUCACAAUUAUUAUGUUUCAACCUUCAGAUUUUUCUAAUAACAAUGUAUUCUAAACACAAUAUUCUGUUACCUAUCAUAUAAAAUAUAUUAUGUCUAUUACAUAUACCAAUAAAAAUAAU